AUACGGAGGGAGCAAGCGUUAUUCGGAAUCACUGGGCGUAAAGGACGCGUAGGCGGGUUUGUAAGUCAGGUGUGAAAUCCUACAGCUCAACCGUAGAACUGCACUUGAAACUACAGACCUAGAGUAUGGAAGGGGCAGAUGGAAUUAGUGGUGUAGGGGUAAAAUCCGUAGAUAUCACUAGGAAUACCGAAAGCGAAGGCGAUCUGCUGGGACAUUACUGACGCUGAGGCGUGAAAGCGUGGGGAGCAAACAGGAUUAGAUACCCCUGUAGUCC
RNAcentral lists this ribosomal RNA (274 nucleotides) under uncultured bacterium. RNAcentral's name for it is "partial 16S ribosomal RNA". It matches the Rfam family "Bacterial small subunit ribosomal RNA", at positions 523 to 796 of the family's 1533-position model. The record is from RNAcentral.